RNAcentral lists this ribosomal RNA (458 nucleotides) under uncultured bacterium. RNAcentral's name for it is "bacterial SSU rRNA". It matches the Rfam family "Bacterial small subunit ribosomal RNA", at positions 340 to 787 of the family's 1533-position model. The record is from RNAcentral.
UACGGGAGGCAGCAGUGGGGAAUAUUGCACAAUGGGCGAAAGCCUGAUGCAGCUAUGCCGCGUGUAUGAAGAAGGCCUUAGGGUUGUAAAGUACUUUCAUCGGGGAGGAAAAACAAAACUAAUAAUUUUAUUUCUUGACGUUACCCGAAAAAGAAGCACCGGCUAACUCCGUGCCAGCAGCCGCGGUAAUACGGAGGGUGCUAGCGUUAAUCAGAAUUACUGGGCGUAAAGAGCACGUAGGUGGUUUUUUUAAGUCAGAUGUGAAAUCCCUGGGCUUAACCUAGGAACUGCAUUUUGAAACUGAAAUACUAGAGUAUCGUAGAGGGAGGUAGAAUUCUAGGUGUAGCGGUGAAAUGCGUAGAUAUCUGGAGGAAUACCUGUGGCGAAAGCGGCCUCCUAAACGAAUACUGACACUGAGGGUGCGAAAGCGUGGGGAGCAAACAGGGAUUAGGAUUACC